GCUGUAUUUGGCCCAGGGAAGUCUGUAGAGUGUGAUACUCUUAAUCUUAGGGUUGUGGGUUCGAGCCCUACAUUGGGCA
Non-coding RNA from Podarcis lilfordi (Lilford's wall lizard), 79 nucleotides. NCBI's taxonomy places the organism in Eukaryota, Metazoa, Chordata, Lepidosauria, Squamata, Lacertidae. The record is from the annotation of a GenBank genome assembly.